This is a long non-coding RNA of Dalotia coriaria, 967 nucleotides long. RefSeq lists it as uncharacterized. NCBI's taxonomy places the organism in Eukaryota, Metazoa, Arthropoda, Insecta, Coleoptera, Staphylinidae. The record is from RefSeq and is a predicted model, not a curated record. The transcript is spliced from 2 exons.
UCGUGAAUGGUUCCACAAAUAUUGACACUCAAAAAGGAACCAAAUAAACGGUUGUUAUUUGUAUUCAUUGCACAUUAACAGUGUGUUUGGAAUAUUUUGUGGUGCGGAAAAUACAAGCAAAUCUUGUGGUCCAGUGGUAAUUGUCUGCGCUUUGUAUGACCGUAAAUGUAUUUUUAGCGUGUUUACAUUGUCGUGUACACAAUCAUGGAUUGUCAAUUGGAAUUGUCUACAAAUUAUGAAGGAAUUAUGGCAUCUGUCGGGUGGAAGUGUUAAUUUGCACCUUGUACCACGACGCAAUGCGAGACUAUAAAAGAGCACUCAGUAUCCGCUGCGCAAUCAAUACAACAUUACUUUACAACUAGCUACACAUCAAUUUUAAUAUUAUUUACCUUUAAAAUAUACGAUUUUAAUAAUGGACUUAAUUAAAAACGGAAUAAUUUUUGUUAUCCUGGUAUGCGCGGCGAGUUGUGCGCCCGCGCAGGUGGAUUUCAAUGAAAUGGACCCUCAAGCAAGUUUGAUAAAAGGACUAACCGCUGGUGCUGUCUCCGCGGGGACGGAUAUGGGUGCCCAGGAUGGUGCUAAUGGAAGGACAGCGGUUGUGGCAACUCAACCGGCUGAAGCGACUAAGGACAAAGCGUUUACGCAAACGCAGCCGGAAACAAAGCGGGCGGACGCAAUAAGGAUAACGGUGGCGGCUCCCACGAGAACACGUCGGCAGGUUCUCUACGUGCGCACCAAGCGGAAGCAGAAUCGAAAAAAAUUGAGCACUCUGCAUCUGAUCUACGGUAAAUGAGCAAACAACAAACAAGACAACAACCUCGAUUGAUCAUUAUAAGGAUUAGAGUAGUCCUAUUUAUUUUUGGCUAACAUUUAGACCGCCUCUAUACUUUUUUUACGUUCGACUGGUGCCGACUGAUGGCAAUAGAAAUGUUAAUUUUAUACGCGACAAUAUAUUUAUUUCGUAAUC